RNAcentral lists this long non-coding RNA (773 nucleotides) under Salmo salar (Atlantic salmon). Its description in RNAcentral is "lncRNA (ENSSSAG00000083838.1)". Lineage: Eukaryota; Metazoa; Chordata; Actinopteri; Salmoniformes; Salmonidae. The record is from RNAcentral.
GACAUGUCAUCACUUCAUUUUUUUGCGCCUGCUCAUCAAUCUGAAAAACGUGAGUUUGUCAUCAUUUUUUAUCUAGACAUAGGAUAGGUUGUGUGAAAAUAUUACUGAUGUUUAACGUUAAAAAUGGACCAAAAGAUUAAUGCUAAACAACAUUUGACAUUUUUGAACGAACAUAAAUAGAUUAUUUACUAGGUUUUUUUAGCUUUUCGGCGUGAUUUUACCAGCCCCCCACCACGUUUUGUGGGAGCAUAAUGAACGCUAAGUACUUGGUGUUAUUUGGACAUAAAUUAUGAACUUUGUCAAAAGAAACCACAUUUGUUCCGGACCUGGAAUGCCUUCCGGACCUGGGAUCCUGCCUUCUGAUGGAGAUAAUCAAAGGGUCAGACGAGGUGACCAAACGUGUCAUUACUCUUCGAGUUGUUUACCGGGAAGCGGGAAUCCUGCAAAGAUGGGCUGGGAGACAAUUUAGCAGAGGAUAGGGCUGGAGGGAAAGCUCACAGGUGGCCAGGCCUCAAAGAAGUAACCCUUGUGUGGUGUUUGGGUCUGUGGGACCCAUUUCCAAUGUUUACUAAAAUAAAAAUGAUACAAUGAUUCAUUUUUCAACCUGACUUGUUGGCCUUGGCUAAUUUUCUGUGAAGGACAUGUAAAAUAACACAUUUUCAUUGAGUGCACACUGUGCACCCCUCUACACAUGUAUUUAUAUUACAUAUGUGGUGUUCGGGUCCACUGGACCCGAGGGUAAUAAAAAGUGUGGAAAAGUGUGUGUGUAGGUG